UACGUAGGGCGCAAGCGUUGUCCGGAAUUAUUGGGCGUAAAGAGCUCGUAGGUGGCGUGUCGCGUCUGCCGUGAAAGCCCAUGGCUUAACUGUGGGUCUGCGGUGGAUACGGGCAGGCUGGAAGGCUGGUAGGGGCAAGCGGAAUUCCUGGUGUAGCGGUGAAAUGCGCAGAUAUCAGGAGGAACACCGGUGGCCGAAGCGGGUCUCUGGGCCGAUACUGACCGCUGAGGAGCGAAAGCGUGGGGAGCGAACAGG
RNAcentral lists this ribosomal RNA (255 nucleotides) under uncultured bacterium. Its description in RNAcentral is "partial 16S ribosomal RNA". It matches the Rfam family "Bacterial small subunit ribosomal RNA", at positions 524 to 776 of the family's 1533-position model. The record is from RNAcentral.